This 83-nucleotide transfer RNA is filed under the name Bacteroidales bacterium. Its description in RNAcentral is "tRNA-Arg". The stretch from base 11 to 69 matches the Rfam family "tRNA", at positions 8 to 63 of the family's 71-position model. Rfam says of the family: Transfer RNA (tRNA) molecules are approximately 80 nucleotides in length. Their secondary structure includes four short double-helical elements and three loops (D, anti-codon, and T loops). Further hydrogen bonds mediate the characteristic L-shaped molecular structure. tRNAs have two regions of fundamental functional importance: the anti-codon, which is responsible for specific mRNA codon recognition, and the 3' end, to which the tRNAs corresponding amino acid is attached (by aminoacyl-tRNA synthetases). tRNAs cope with the degeneracy of the genetic code in two manners: having more than one tRNA (with a specific anti-codon) for a particular amino acid; and 'wobble' base-pairing, i.e. permitting non-standard base-pairing at the 3rd anti-codon position. The record is from RNAcentral. Lineage: Bacteria; Pseudomonadati; Bacteroidota; Bacteroidia; Bacteroidales.
GGAGGCCGCGUAGCUCAACUGAAUAGAGCAUUUGACUACGGAUCAAAAGGUUACAGGUUUGAAUCCUGUGCGAGUCACCUUCA